UCAGACGAUGCGUCAUGCAUAUCAAUAAGCGGAGGAAAAGAAACUAACAAGGAUUCCCUUAGUAACGGCGAGUGAAGCGGGAAGAGCUCAAAUUUGAAAUCUUCAAGGUUUUACCUUGACGAAUUGUAGUUUAAAGAAGUGUUUUCUGCUGAAGUUUUGGUAAAAGUUCUUUGGAAUAGGACAUCAUAGAGGGUGAGAAUCCCGUAUUUGACCAUUAUUUUCAGCUUUGUGAUACACUUUCAAAGAGUCGGAUUGUUUGGGAAUGCAGUCCAAAAUGGGUGGUAAAUUUCAUCUAAAGCUAAAUAUUGGCGAGAGACCGAUAGCGAACAAGUACCGUGAGGGAAAGAUGAAAAGAACUUUGAAAAGAGAGUUAAACAGUACGUGAAAUUGUCAAAAGGGAAGCGUUUGACACCAGUGUUGUUUUCUCGAAAAUCAAUUAAAAAUGGCUCGAUUUUGUAUUGCUGAGACCUUAAAAGCUCACUGUACAUUUUUCGUGUCUUUUUUAAUGCACUUUUCGUUUAACAAGUCAACAUCAGUUUCUUUUGUUGUAAAAGGGUCAUUGGAAGGUGAGCUUUCUUUUCGGAGAAAGUGUUUAUAGCCUUUGGCCUCUGCAAUCGGAGAGACUGAGGUCUGCAGCGUAGACUCUUCGGGGUUAGAUACAUUUGUGCUAAGUUAUAGCUUUUUAUAGACAACUUGUUGACUAUAAUUAGUCUUGUAGCUUACUCGCUUAUGCUAUUUUACCUACGCUUAGGAUGUUGAAGUCAUCGUAUCGCGC
Molecule: ribosomal RNA, 775 nt
Filed under: uncultured Neocallimastigales
Lineage: Eukaryota; Fungi; Neocallimastigomycota; Neocallimastigomycetes; Neocallimastigales
Description: partial large subunit ribosomal RNA
Rfam family: Eukaryotic large subunit ribosomal RNA
Source: RNAcentral